Molecule: non-coding RNA, 126 nt
Filed under: Pseudonocardia sp.
Lineage: Bacteria; Bacillati; Actinomycetota; Actinomycetes; Pseudonocardiales; Pseudonocardiaceae
Source: RNAcentral
GGAUCUCCAACUGUUUGCGGUGCAGGGAAGCCGGUGUGAGUCCGGCGCGGUCCCGCCACUGUGACCGGGGAGCUCGUCGGCUCGUUCCUCGGGCAGCCAGACACCGGCCGCAGAUGUUCGUGCGUU